RNAcentral lists this ribosomal RNA (1369 nucleotides) under uncultured prokaryote. RNAcentral describes it as "partial 16S ribosomal RNA". It matches the Rfam family "Bacterial small subunit ribosomal RNA", at positions 23 to 1393 of the family's 1533-position model. The record is from RNAcentral.
AUGAACGCUAACGCUAGCGGGAGGCUUAACACAUGCAAGUCGAGGGGUAACAUUGGAGCUUGCUUCAGAUGACGACCGGCGCACGGGUGAGUAAAGCGUAUGCAACCUACCUCAAACAGGGGGAUAGCUCAGGGAAACCUGGAUUAAUACCCCAUAAUAUUUAGAUUUGGCAUCAGAUUUAAAUUAAAACUCCGGUGGUUUGAGAUGGGCAUGCGUGACAUUAGCUAGUUGGUAAGGUAAUGGCUUACCAAGGCUACGAUGUCUAGGGGUUCUGAGAGGAUGGUCCCCCACACUGGUACUGAGACACGGACCAGACUCCUACGGGAGGCAGCAGUAAGGAAUAUUGGGCAAUGGAGGCAACUCUGACCCAGCCAUGCCGCGUGCAGGAUGACAGCUCUAGAGGGUGUAAACUGCUUUUAUACAGGAAGAACCACCGGUACGUGUACUGGUCUGACGGUACUGUAUGAAUAAGGAUCGGCUAACUCCGUGCCAGCAGCCGCGGUAAUACGGAGGAUCCAAGCGUUAUCCGGAUUUAUUGGGUUUAAAGGGUGCGCAGGCGGAAUAGUAAGUCAGUGGUGAAAUCCUACGGCUCAACCGUAGAACUGCCAUUGAUACUGCUGUUCUUGAGUUCAGAUGAGGUAGGCGGAAUGUGUCGUGUAGCGGUGAAAUGCUUAGAUAUGACACAGAACUCCGAUAGCGAAGGCAGCUUACCAAACUGAUACUGACGCUGAGGCACGAAAGCGUGGGGAGCGAACAGGAUUAGAUACCCUGGUAGUCCACGCUGUAAACGAUGAUAACUAGUUGUUGGCGAUAUACUGUCAGCGACCAAGCGAAAGCGAUAAGUUAUCCACCUGGGGAGUACGAUCGCAAGGUUGAAACUCAAAGGAAUUGACGGGGGCCCGCACAAGCGGUGGAGCAUGUGGUUUAAUUCGAUAAUACGCGAGGAACCUUACCUGGGCUUAAAUGCAGAACGACCUCUUGAGAAAUCAGGCCUUCUUCGGACAAUCUACAAGGUGCUGCAUGGCUGUCGUCAGCUCGUGCCGUGAGGUGUUGGGUUAAGUCCCGCAACGAGCGCAACCCCUAUCUUUAGUUGCCAGCGAGUAAUGUCGGGGACUCUAAGGAAACUGCCCGCGCAAGCGGUGAGGAAGGUGGGGAUGACGUCAGGUCAGCACGGCCCUUACGUCCAGGGCUACACACGUGCUACAAUGGCCGGUACAAAGGGCAGCUACAUGGCGACAUGAUGCUAAUCUCUAAAGCCGGUCUCAGUUCGGAUCGAAGUCUGCAACUCGACUUCGUGAAGCUGGAAUCGCUAGUAAUCGUAGAUCAGCCAUGGCGCGGUGAAUACGUUCCCGGGCCUUGUACACACCGC